Molecule: long non-coding RNA, 417 nt
Filed under: Vigna radiata
Lineage: Eukaryota; Viridiplantae; Streptophyta; Magnoliopsida; Fabales; Fabaceae
Description: long non-coding RNA (VRAD_LNC000915)
Source: RNAcentral
UUCGUCCUGUUGAACACAAACCUCUUUGUGGCAAUGCUUUUUUGGCCCAUCAUGCCACCAAUCAAGUCCAUUUCUAUCUUCCUCGGCGGAAAAACCUGUGCGCCUUCUUCCAUUUGUGGUAGUAUCGGUUUGUUGCCUCUGCAAAAAUUAAAAUUAAUCACACAAUAUAUUAUAAAAUAAACAUUCAAAUCUCGAGAACUGGGUAUAUAAGUUUAUAAAAUGAGUAGAAUGAUUGGAAUAUGUGACCUUUAUACCUUGAUGUUGCAGCCCAAGCAGUGAGGAAGGAUGCUGCUGUGGAAGCAUCAGCGAUUUUGUGUGAGAAGCAGACGCCAAGAGCAAAACCUCCACACGUGAAGUGGUUGAACUGAACUGCCAUGUUCCCAGUGAGAGUUUCCCUUGCAGGGUUGUAUGGAUCGC